UUGGGAGCAAAGGCGGCGCAGGUUCCUGACACAGCCGUCUGCAGGUAGUUCAAGAUGAGCACCUUCCGGCGGCCCAGCCUGUCGGGGGAAGGAAGACCUGCAACACGGGUCCUGAGGACCAGCAGGGCCAGGCUAAGCUGGAAGAGGGGCGCUUGCCCUGGUAAACCUCUGGAUACAGCACAGGAACAGCUAGGACAUCCUGGGAGCCACCCUGGAUUCUGGACAACUGAAAGAUGGGGAUGGGGGGGCAUGGGUUUGAGCCCUGGUCGGGGAAGAUCCCACAUGCUGCAGAGCAACUAAGCCCGUGCGCCACAACUACUGAGCCUGAAUGCUGCAACUACUGAAGCCCGCAUGCCUAGAACCCAUGCUCCGCAACAAGAGAAGCUACCGCAAUGGGAAGCCCGCACAUCGCAAUGAUGAGUAUUCCCUGCUCGCCACAACUAGAGAAAGCCUGCACG
Molecule: long non-coding RNA, 458 nt
Organism: Globicephala melas (long-finned pilot whale)
Lineage: Eukaryota; Metazoa; Chordata; Mammalia; Artiodactyla; Delphinidae
Source: RefSeq, a predicted model, not a curated record